CCUACGGGGGGCUGCAGUGGGGAAUAUUGCACAAUGGGCGCAAGCCUGAUGCAGCCAUGCCGCGUGUGUGAAGAAGGCCUUCGGGUUGUAAAGCACUUUCAGCGGGGAGGAAGGCGUUAAGGUUAAUAACCUUGGCGAUUGACGUUACCCGCAGAAGAAGCACCGGCUAACUCCGUGCCAGCAGCCGCGGUAAUACGGAGGGUGCAAGCGUUAAUCGGAAUUACUGGGCGUAAAGCGCACGCAGGCGGUCUGUCAAGUCGGAUGUGAAAUCCCCGGGCUCAACCUGGGAACUGCAUUCGAAACUGGCAGGCUAGAGUCUUGUAGAGGGGGGUAGAAUUCCAGGUGUAGCGGUGAAAUGCGUAGAGAUCUGGAGGAAUACCGGUGGCGAAGGCGGCCCCCUGGACAAAGACUGACGCUCAGGUGCGAAAGCGUGGGGAGCAGACAGGAUUAGAUACCCCGGUAGUC
This 465-nucleotide ribosomal RNA is filed under the name uncultured Klebsiella sp. Its description in RNAcentral is "bacterial SSU rRNA". It matches the Rfam family "Bacterial small subunit ribosomal RNA", at positions 338 to 795 of the family's 1533-position model. Lineage: Bacteria; Pseudomonadati; Pseudomonadota; Gammaproteobacteria; Enterobacterales; Enterobacteriaceae. The record is from RNAcentral.